Molecule: transfer RNA, 75 nt
Filed under: Pseudaminobacter soli (ex Zhang et al. 2022)
Lineage: Bacteria; Pseudomonadati; Pseudomonadota; Alphaproteobacteria; Hyphomicrobiales; Phyllobacteriaceae
Description: tRNA-Arg
Rfam family: tRNA
About the family: Transfer RNA (tRNA) molecules are approximately 80 nucleotides in length.
Source: RNAcentral
GUUGCGAGUAGCGCAGUUGGUAGCGCAAUGGCCCUCUAAGCCAUCGGUCGCCGGUUCAAAUCCGGCCUCACGAUA